GAUGAACGCUGGCGGUGUGCCUAAUACAUGCAAGUCGAGCGAACAGACGAGGAGCUUACUCCUCUGACGUUAGCGGCGGACGGGUGAGUAACACGUGGAUAACCUACCUAUAAGACUGGGAUAACUUCGGGAAACCGGAGCUAAUACCGGAUAACAUGUUGAACCGCAUGGUUCAACAGUGAAAGACGGUCUUGCUGUCACUUAUAGAUGGAUCCGCGUCGCAUUAGCUAGUUGGUAAGGUAACGGCUUACCAAGGCAACGAUGCGUAGCCGACCUGAGAGGGUGAUCGCCCACACGGGAACUGAGAAACGGUCCAGACUCCUACGGGAGGCAGCGGUAGGGAAUCUUCCGCAAUGGGGGAAAGCCUGACGGAGCAACGCCGCGUGAGUGAAGAAGGUCUUCGGAUCGUAAAACUCUGUUAUUAGGGAAGAACAAAUGUGUAAGUAACUAUGCACGUCUUGACGGUACCUAAUCAGAAAGCCACGGCUAACUACGUG
Molecule: ribosomal RNA, 497 nt
Filed under: uncultured bacterium
Lineage: Bacteria
Description: partial 16S ribosomal RNA
Rfam family: Bacterial small subunit ribosomal RNA
Source: RNAcentral